AUGGAGCCCGACGCGCCGCUCGACUACGCGCUCUUCCAGCUCUCCCCCCGCCGCUCCAGGUGCGAGCUCGUGGUGUCCUGCAGUGGGCGGACGGAGAAGAUCGCGUCGGGGUCGGUGAAGCCGUUCGUGACGCACCUGCGCGCCGCGGAGGAGCAGGCGGCGGCCCAGCCGCCGCAGCCGGCCAUCCGGCUGCAGCUGGACCGGCGCGCCGCGUGGUUCAGCAAGGGCACCCUCGAGAGGUUCGUGCGCUUCGUGAGCACGCCGGAGGUGCUGGAGAUGGCGAAUACAUUCGAUGCAGAAAUGUCGCAGCUAGAAGGGGCUAGGAAGAUUUACGCGGCACAGGGAACUGCUGUAGGUGCUACCUCGGGUGCAGCUGCUGAAGCCUCAGCAGCAGCUGCAGACAUUACAAAGAAGGAGCUUCUUAGAGCAAUUGAUGUCCGUUUAAGUGCACUUAAACAAGACCUUGUCACGUCUUGUGCCCGGGCAUCAUCCGCAGGGUUCAACCAUGACAGUGUCUCUGAGCUUCUCCAUUUUGCGGACCACUUUGGUGCCAGCAGGCUGAGCGAAGCAUGCAACAAAUACAUGUCACUUUGCCAGCGUCGUCCAGACAUCAAUCCUCAGGCAUCCCCAGCACCUUCAUCACACUGGAAGAGCUUCGAAGAUGGGGAUCUUCGUGACUCCUGCAGUUCAGACAUGUCUAUAGAUGAGCCACCGGCCGAUCACGGUGGAUCCAGCAAUAGAUCUACAAGUUGGGGUAGUGUCCCGCAUACCGAUAGAUUAAGCAGCAACCAACAUUCAGUUGAUGUUCCAUCAGGAUCGAGCGCUGAACAGCAAUCUAAGCCAACCAUCCAGCAGACAGUAGAUAAACAAGAAAACGAAACUGAUGCUCCAACUGCUCCUGCUAAAGAGCUUUCGAGGCGUUUGAGUGUGCAAGAUAGAAUAAGCAUGUUUGAGAAUAAGCAAAAGGAGCAAACUUCAACUUCUGGUAACAGCAACUCUGCAGGUACUGCUAAGGUUGUUCCAGUGAAAGGUGAGCACCGCAGGGUGCCUUCUGUUGCGUCCAUGGACAAGUUGGUAAGAAGGUGGAGCAGUGUCAGUGACAUGAGCAUUGAUCUGGGUAACAAUGAUAACAGUGGCUGUAAUGACAAAAGUGAAAAUGGAACUCCAGCUGGGACACCAACAUCUGCCAAUCUGGAGGCCAGUUCAAAAGUAAGAGCUGAUAAGGAUGCUAGCGGGGUGAAGAAUCCAGACACAUCUCAAUCUUGGUCACGUCAAAAGGACGGUGACAAGCCCAAGGAUUCUACCACUACAAAUGCUUCUUCGUCCUCAACCUUUAAUGCUACAUCUCCACCCUCAUUAUCAGCCAUUGUUACCAAGGCUCCUGAAAAGCAGACUAGGUCUUGUUCGGGAGAUGACAUGGCUAUAGCCUCUAGUACUGAGAGUGAGUUAUCCUUUGACAAGGAGCAGGGAGUUAACCAAGGACAAGGCGACACACGGUUGUCAGAGCAUGUUGCUUCAAAUGUUUCCACUCAAAACCGACAAAAAACAUCUUCAAGGCCAGCUGAGGAAGCUUUCCCGAAACAUUUUGAUACUUUAACUAGUCCAUUGUCAGAGGAUCAUGUCCAGAUAGAUAAGGAAAUAACUCCUGUUGCUCAUGAAGUACCAGUUGCAAGUGAACAGAUUGGACGUAAAGAUAGUAGAGCUCGCCUUCGUUCAAAAGAGAUGCAUGCUGGAGCAGACGCAGUUGUGAAGAAGGAUCGAUCCUUUCGAACAGUUGGGAAAACGUCAAGUGGUGUUGAUCUCAAAUCGAAAGCCACAUCGCAUUCUCGCACUAAUGUUAGGGGUUCAUCUGGUAGGGACGAAGCUGGCUCUACAGAAUCUGAAGUUCAUGAUGCUAGCUCGCGGCGGAAAAGUCUACCACGGAAGGUAGAGGAUGUGCGGAGAAAGGUUGCUGUUGGGUCUGAAAUACUGCCUCAAUUGGAUUAUUCUAGUCGCCAGGGAUCAAAUUUGAGCAGACAAUCAUCUAAUGCUGAGCAGGAAUUGAGUUUGCUGGGAGGUAAAGUUAAACCAGUAAAUGAUGCAAAUGCUAUUCCCUUGGAGCAGACUAGGGCGACGAAACCGGCAAAGGGGAAUCAAGAUCGGCAUGAUGAACUGCAAAUGAAGGCCAAUGAGUUGGAGAAAUUAUUUGCUGCACACAAGCUAACCACUUCCAGGAGAGGAAAGUCUACAGAUGCACAGGUUGAUGAUACACCUAGGUUAAGUGAGGUAAAGCCUACACAGGUUCUUCCAGAGAAGAUUUGUAUGAAGCAAACUGUGAUGGAGAGUAACAACUUUGAUGCCAAUGAGCUUCUGAAGAUAGUGGACAACGAAGGGUAUAACAACAGCACACCAGAAAAACUUGGGAUGCUUAGCCUAGAAGAGUCACGGGGAAAGUUUUAUGAUCAAUAUAUGCAGAAGAGGGAUGCAAAACUAAAGGAGGAUUGGAAGCUGCAGAAAGAAGAGAAGGAAGCAAUAUUAAAGGCAAUGCAUGAAAGUCUAGAAAGGAGCAAGGCUGAGAUGCGGGCCAAAUUCUCUCGAUCUGCUUUGCAAUCAGUUUCACGAAAUAAGGAUCAGGGGGCAGAUUCUUUCCUGGUAGAAGAUGAAAUGAACAGUGACUACCUAUCUGGUGAUUGUUCUUCCAGGAGUGCUGAUUCCAGGAAGCAUUUUUCAAACAAAGUAGCUUACACACAAAAGAAAUCCAUUGCUCCUGUCCAUAGUCAUAAGCAUUCGUCAAGAGCUGUAAGACCCGGUUAUGCAAAUCGCAGGAACCCACCAGAAAAUCCUCUUGCACAGUCAGUUCCCAAUUUCUCCGACUUCAGAAAGGAAAAUACAAAGCCAUCAGCUGGUCAUAGCAGAGCUACUGCAAGGGCUCACCCAAAAGGUUUUUCCCGUAGUAAGAGCAUAAUUGAAGAGUCAAAGAGUAUUUUGUAUCAAGAUCAAUCAAGGGGGUCACAGUCUAUGAGAAAAGACUUAAAUGCUAGUGAAUUAAGGGACACUUCAUCAGUGAACAGGGAUAUUUACAACUGUGCUCCCUCAGGAAUUUCUAGUAACACCCAUAAAUCUGGCGUACCGAAGUCUUUUGUUAGGAAAGACAAUGGGACUCACCCUGUUGUCGGUAUAACCGGAUUUCGACAACCAAUGUUUGCAAGUGUCUUACAGGAUGAAGAUGAUGAUUUUCCAGAUCAGCAAGAGGAUUCCCCAGAUGAUGCCAAAGAUGAAGAAUACGAAAGCAUUGAAGAGAAUCUCAGGGAAAGUGAUUUUCCUGCUGAUUCAGACAGUGAGACUCCAAAACUGAGUCAGGAUUUUGGAAAUUCAGACGAUCCAGGAUCAGAAAAUGGCGACGUUUCUUUUCCACGGGAAGCAUCCAGUACCAAGUUCAAUGCUUUUGCAAGAAACAUGCAUGAUUUACCUGGUGAAUUACCAGCCCCCUGGAGCUCGCAUCAUCCACACCUAUUGCCUUAUGCAAAUGAUACCUCGGAUGGUGAUGCUUUUGUCGAUUCACCAACCGGCAGUCCAUCACCGUGGAACUCUCAUUCGCUGGAUCAAAUAACAGAUGCUGAUGUUUCCCGGAUGAGAAAAAAGUGGGGCAGCGCUCAGAUGCCUUUUGGUGGUGCCAAUGCAUCUCAACAGCCACGCAAAGAUGUCCCAAAAGGGUUUAAGAAGCUGCUGAAAUUUGGGAGGAAGAAUAGGGGUGAUGGUUUAGUAAAUGACUGGGUUUCUGCUUCAACUGCCUCAGAAUGUGACGAUGAUAUGGAAGAUGGCCGGGAUCUGGCAAUAGGAUCCUCUGAUGAUUUCAGAAAGUCAAGAAUGGGCUAUCUUUCUUCAUAUGAUGGUUUUGUUGAGAACGAGGUUUUGACUGAACAAGAACAAUCGCUGCGCAGCUCCAUUCCAAACCCCCCUGCAAAUUUUAGACUGAGGGAGGAUCAACUGACUGGUAGCUCAAUUAAAGCGCCACGUUCAUUCUUCUCCCUGUCGACAUUCCGGAGCAAAGGAGGCGAUGCUAGGCUAAGGUGA
RNAcentral lists this ribosomal RNA (4053 nucleotides) under Triticum aestivum (bread wheat). RNAcentral's name for it is "partial small subunit ribosomal RNA". Lineage: Eukaryota; Viridiplantae; Streptophyta; Magnoliopsida; Poales; Poaceae. The record is from RNAcentral.